AGGAGAAGAAGGGCCUGAUGGACCUCCAGGGGACAGAGGGAUUACUGGUGUCCCAGGUUUUCCUGGAGCAAAUGGUGUGGAUGGACAUGUUGGUGACAGAGGACUUCCGGGAACACUGGGAUCAUGCGGCACUAAAGGGACUCAGGGGGAAAAAGGUGUCCCUGGGACACAUGGGUUUGAUGGAACACCUGGACAACGUGUAAGUCUUUUAAACCGGUCAUUUCUUUACUAUAUAGGAAUAAUUAAUAAAUAAUUACAUAUUUAAUUUGAAAACUGAUGGGAGCAUGAGACACUGUGCCUUUUCUGCUCUCAGGGACGUAAAGGACAGAAAGGCAUGAAGGGGGAGCCGAUCUUCGCCGAUAUAUAUCUGGUUUGUUUGCUUCAAACAAUUUGACGUCAAGUCCUACCUUCCCAAAAAUCCCAAAAAUCUGUGGCUAAUAUUUAACAUUACUUUCCAACAGCGAGCUCCGGGUCCAGCUGGCCUUCCUGUAAGUUGAUGUUCAUCCUGUCUUCAUAGUAAAAGUCUAAAAAAAAAAAAACCCAAACAAACAUGUAUGAUAAAUGUAAUGCUUUAAGAAUUAUAAAGACACGGAAUGCAUUACAGCACAUAUAUACACAUAUGUACGUAUUGUUCAUUACUCUAUCACUUUACCGUGCUUUUAUUUUGUAUUGUGGAUUUCUUUAGGGAUUCCCCGGCAUCCUUGGUGUACCGGGAAUUCCAGGCUCAUAUGGCCCAGAAGGCUUAAGAGUAAGAUUAAUGUUUCGCAUUUCUUAUACAGGUGCGUCU
This is a long non-coding RNA of Ictalurus furcatus (blue catfish), 787 nucleotides long. RefSeq lists it as uncharacterized. Lineage: Eukaryota; Metazoa; Chordata; Actinopteri; Siluriformes; Ictaluridae. The record is from RefSeq and is a predicted model, not a curated record. The transcript has 3 exons.